Small nuclear RNA from Schistocerca nitens (vagrant locust), 108 nucleotides. The record is from RefSeq and is a predicted model, not a curated record. Lineage: Eukaryota; Metazoa; Arthropoda; Insecta; Orthoptera; Acrididae.
GUACUCGCUUCAACGGUGCAUACCCUAAAAAUUAGAACGAUACAGUGAAGAUUACCAUGGCCCCUGCGCAAGGAUGACACGCGGAAUUGUGAAGCAUUCCGUACUUUG